This 1219-nucleotide ribosomal RNA is filed under the name uncultured bacterium. RNAcentral's name for it is "bacterial SSU rRNA". It matches the Rfam family "Bacterial small subunit ribosomal RNA", at positions 291 to 1533 of the family's 1533-position model. The record is from RNAcentral.
UCUAAAAUGUUGAACGCCCACUAUGGACUGGAAUCGCCAAUCCUACGGAGGCAGCAGUUAAGGAUCUUCCCGCCAUGGGCGAAGCCUGACGGAGGGACGCGCGUGGAACGAUGAAGCAGAAGUUGUGAAGUCCUUUUCUCGGGGGGGAACAACCGUGCCAGGAUGGGCGCGGGGUGACGCGGACCGAGAAUAAGCCCUGGCAAACUACGUGCCAGCAGCCGCGGUAACACGUAGGGGGCGAGCGUUGUUCGGAUUCAUUGGGCGUAAAGGGCGCGCGGGCGGCCGGGCGAGCUGCCGUGAAAUCCCCGUGCUCAACACGGGGGGGUCGGCGGGGACUGUCCGGGCUGGAGUACCGGGAAGCGGCGGCGGAAUUCCUGGUGUAGGGGUGAAAUCUGUAGAUAUCAGGAAGAACACCGAUGGCGAAGGCGGCCGCCGGGCCGGAUACUGACGCUGAGGCGCGAAGGUGCGGGGAGCGAACAGGUUUAGAUACCCUGGUAGUCCGCACAGUAAACGAUGUGCACCGGGUGGCGGGCGGGAACGCUCGGCACCGAAGCGAACGCAGCAAGUGCACCGCCUGGGGAGUAUGCCCGCAAGGGUGAAACUCAAAGGAAUUGACGGGGGCCCGCACAAGCGGUGGAGCAUGUGGUUUAAUUCGAUGAUACGCGAGGAACCUUACCAGGGCUUGACAUGCGCGGGAGGCGCUCCGAGAGGGGCGCGCCCUUCGGGGCCCGCGCACAGGUGCUGCAUGGCUGUCGUCAGCUCGUGCUGUGAAGUGUUGGGUUAAGUCCCGCAACGAGCGCAACCCCUUCUGCCAGUUGCCAGCAUUCGGUUGGGCACUCUGGCGGGACCGCCGGCGACAAGCCGGAGGAAGGCGGGGACGACGUCAAGUCAUCACGGCCCUUAUGUCCUGGGCGACACACGUGCUACAAUGGCAGGUACAGAGCGAGGCGAGCCUGGAAGGGUGAGCGGACCGCAGAAAGCCUGUCCCAGUACGGACUGGGGCCUGCAACCCGGCCCCACGAAGUUGGAAUCGCUAGUAAUCGCGCAUCAGCAUGGCGCGGUGAAUACGUUCCCGGGCCUUGUACACACCGCCCGUCACACCAUCCGAGUCGGGGGCGCCCGAAGCCGCCAGGCCAACCGCGAGGGGGCCGGUGUCGAAGGUGCGUCCGGCGAGGGGGGUGAAGUCGUAACAAGGUAAAUCACUGCCGUCCUAACCCAU